GGAAGGGAAGCGUCCCCGGUGGGGCGGCCGGGCUUCAAACCCGGAUGGGGGCGUCAGCCGCUCCUCGGUGGGUUCGACUCCCACUCCCCUCCGCCA
RNAcentral lists this transfer RNA (96 nucleotides) under Thiobacillus sp. RNAcentral describes it as "tRNA-Sec". It matches the Rfam family "Selenocysteine transfer RNA". The record is from RNAcentral. Lineage: Bacteria; Pseudomonadati; Pseudomonadota; Betaproteobacteria; Nitrosomonadales; Thiobacillaceae.